ACGGAGGGUGCAAGCGUUAUCCGGAUUUAUUGGGUUUAAAGGGUCCGUAGGCGGACCGAUAAGUCAGUGGUGAAAUCUCAUAGCUUAACUAUGAAACUGCCAUUGAUACUGUCGGUCUUGAGUAAAUUAGAGGUAGCUGGAAUAAGUAGUGUAGCGGUGAAAUGCAUAGAUAUUACUUAGAACACCAAUUGCGAAGGCAGGUUACCAUGAUUUAACUGACGCUGAGGGACGAAAGCGUGGGUAGCGAACAGG
This 252-nucleotide ribosomal RNA is filed under the name uncultured bacterium. RNAcentral describes it as "partial 16S ribosomal RNA". It matches the Rfam family "Bacterial small subunit ribosomal RNA", at positions 525 to 776 of the family's 1533-position model. The record is from RNAcentral.